CCCAGACUCCUACGGGAGGCAGCAGUGGGGAAUAUUGCACAAUGGGGGAAACCCUGAUGCAGCGACGCCGCGUGAGUGAAGAAGUAUUUCGGUAUGUAAAGCUCUAUCAGCAGGGAAGAAAAUGACGGUACCUGACUAAGAAGCCCCGGCUAACUACGUGCCAGCAGCCGCGGUAAUACGUAGGGGGCAAGCGUUAUCCGGAUUUACUGGGUGUAAAGGGAGCGUAGACGGCAUGGCAAGUCAGAUGUGAAAGCCCGGGGCUCAACCCCGGGACUGCUCUUGGAACUGCGCGGCUGGAGUGCAGGAGGGGCAGGCGGAAUUCCUGGUGUAGCGGUGAAAUGCGUAGAUAUCAGGAGGAACACCGGUGGCGAAGGCGGCCUGCUGGACUGCGACUGACGUUGAGGCCCGAAAGCGUGGGGAGCAAACAGGAUUAGAUACCCCCGUA
RNAcentral lists this ribosomal RNA (445 nucleotides) under uncultured bacterium. RNAcentral's name for it is "bacterial SSU rRNA". It matches the Rfam family "Bacterial small subunit ribosomal RNA", at positions 330 to 792 of the family's 1533-position model. The record is from RNAcentral.